Molecule: ribosomal RNA, 622 nt
Filed under: uncultured bacterium
Lineage: Bacteria
Description: bacterial SSU rRNA
Rfam family: Bacterial small subunit ribosomal RNA
Source: RNAcentral
AGAGUUUGAUCAUGGCUCAGGACGAACGCUGGCGGCGCGCCUAACACAUGCAAGUCGAACGAGAGAUGAGGAGCUUGCUCUUCAAAUCGAGUGGCGAACGGGUGAGUAACGCGUGAGGAACCUGCCUCAAAGAGGGGGACAACAGUUGGAAACGACUGCUAAUACCGCAUAAGCCCACGGCUCGGCAUCGAGCAGAGGGAAAAGGAGUGAUCCGCUUUGAGAUGGCCUCGCGUCCGAUUAGCUGGUUGGUGAGGUAACGGCCCACCAAGGCGACGAUCGGUAGCCGGACUGAGAGGUUGAACGGCCACAUUGGGACUGAGACACGGCCCAGACUCCUACGGGAGGCAGCAGUGGGGAAUAUUGCACAAUGGGGGAAACCCUGAUGCAGCGACGCCGCGUGGAGGAAGAAGGUCUUCGGAUUGUAAACUCCUGUUGUUGAGGAAGAUAAUGACGGUACUCAACAAGGAAGUGACGGCUAACUACGUGCCAGCAGCCGCGGUAAAACGUAGGUCACAAGCGUUGUCCGGAAUUACUGGGUGUAAAGGGAGCGCAGGCGGGAGAACAAGUUGGAAGUGAAAUCCAUGGGCUCAACCCAUGAACUGCUUUCAAAACUGUUUUUCUU